Molecule: long non-coding RNA, 405 nt
Organism: Micropterus salmoides (largemouth bass)
Lineage: Eukaryota; Metazoa; Chordata; Actinopteri; Centrarchiformes; Centrarchidae
Exons: 2
Source: RefSeq, a predicted model, not a curated record
CGCGGAGCCAUUGAGAGCCAUGGGGACGACCACCAGCAAGCCCGCCACCAUCGACAGGGCGUGAGCCGUGCAGUGGGCUAGCAACAACCGCCGGUCCAGCUCCAUGUUAGAAGUCUAAAAACUAAAAUGUGAAGUUAUGGAUCCCAUUUACCCGAGAGACUGGCACCAACCGAGAGACCCAUCUGAUGCUCUUACUGCAUCAAGUAGCAGCUUAGAUGAAGAUCUAGAUUUGGAUGUAGCAACCAAUUUAUUUUCUCAUUAUUUGUUUUUAUUACCGCAUGUUGUUAAAAUAUUUUGUAUUUAUAAUAAUAUUGAAUCAAUAAUUCCUUUAUAUUUUCAUCAUGUUGUAUUAUCUUAAGUUGUCUAUGUUGUAAUCCAUUUUCUUAAUAAAAUCUUUAUAUUUAA